CCCGACUCCUACGGGAGGCAGCAGUAAGGAAUAUUGGUCAAUGGGCGCAGGCCUGAACCAGCCAUGCCGCGUGGAGGACGAAGGCCCUCCGGGUCGUAAACUCCUUUUACCCGGGACGAAAAAAGCCCUUUUGAGGGCACUUGACGGUACCGGGGGAAUAAGCACCGGCUAACUCCGUGCCAGCAGCCGCGGUAAUACGGAGGGUGCGAGCGUUAUCCGGAUUCACUGGGUUUAAAGGGUGCGCAGGCGGGCUUUUAAGUCAGCGGUGAAACCCGCGGGCUCAACCCGCGGACUGCCGAUGAUACUAGGGGCCUUGGAUGUCGCUGAGGGCAGCGGAAUGGGGCAUGUAGCGGUGAAAUGCAUAGAUAUGCCCCGGAACACCGAUUGCGGAGGCAGCUGCCUAAAGGACGAUCGACGCUGAGGCACGAAAGCGUGGGUAGCGAACAGGAUUAGAUACCCUGGUAGUCCACGCCCUAAACGAUGAUUACUCGACGUCCGCGGCAUACUG
RNAcentral lists this ribosomal RNA (508 nucleotides) under uncultured bacterium. RNAcentral's name for it is "bacterial SSU rRNA". It matches the Rfam family "Bacterial small subunit ribosomal RNA", at positions 331 to 836 of the family's 1533-position model. The record is from RNAcentral.